This 249-nucleotide ribosomal RNA is filed under the name uncultured Oscillospiraceae bacterium. RNAcentral's name for it is "partial 16S ribosomal RNA". It matches the Rfam family "Bacterial small subunit ribosomal RNA", at positions 796 to 1041 of the family's 1533-position model. The record is from RNAcentral. Lineage: Bacteria; Bacillati; Bacillota; Clostridia; Eubacteriales; Oscillospiraceae.
CACACUGUAAACGAUGAUUGCUAGGUGUGGGGGGUCUAACCCCUUCCGUGCCGGAGCUAACGCAAUAAGCAAUCCACCUGGGGAGUACGGCCGCAAGGUUGAAACUCAAAGGAAUUGACGGGGGCCCGCACAAGCAGUGGAUUAUGUGGUUUAAUUCGAAGCAACGCGAAGAACCUUACCAGGUCUUGACAUCCGACUAACGAGGCAGAGAUGCGUCAGGUGCCCUUCGGGGAAAGUCGAGACAGGUGG